This is a non-coding RNA of Mus caroli (Ryukyu mouse), 617 nucleotides long. NCBI's taxonomy places the organism in Eukaryota, Metazoa, Chordata, Mammalia, Rodentia, Muridae. The record is from RefSeq and is a predicted model, not a curated record.
AACAGUUGAGACUAUGGACAGGGAGCGAUCCAGAAACAUUUCUUAAAUCUCUGCCUUUGCCUCUUUCAAGCUGUAUGCCCUAGGUGGUAUGGCAGAGUUCCAGGCCCAGCGGCUGCUCCCUGCACCUGCCCCCUCCACAUCCAAUUUCUUUGCAAUGGCCUAAAAAGCUAACCAAGCUGAAAUAGCUCAUUCCAAGGCUCUCAAACUCCGGCACCAUUAUUCAGUGUUUGCAGAGGCCUAGCCUCAUCCCUGCCACUCACCACUUCCCAUCUGCGGUAUCUUCGAUGCUCACCGUCCUGCUGGGCUUGAGGAUAAGAGCCCCAGCCUAGGAUGAGGUGCCACCCACAGUGAGCCAGUCUUCCCACUUCAUUCAGCAUAAUCCGGAUAAUACCCACAGGUAUGCCCAGAGCUCCAUCUCCCGGGUGAUUCUAGAUUUUUGUCAAGUUGACAAUGAACACCAAGCAAGCACAAGACUCCAGCUAAUUCAUCAGCUCUGUGUCAGUGCAUUAGGAUGCAAGAAGACUCUUACUUUACUCUCAGCAGAUGCCACGCCAUGCUCUUGGACUACCCAGCUUUUCAAAUCAUGAGCUUAAUAAAUCUCUAUUCUCUACCAGUUA